RNAcentral lists this ribosomal RNA (253 nucleotides) under uncultured bacterium. RNAcentral describes it as "partial 16S ribosomal RNA". It matches the Rfam family "Bacterial small subunit ribosomal RNA", at positions 524 to 776 of the family's 1533-position model. The record is from RNAcentral.
UACGUAGGAUGCAAGCGUUACCCGGAAUUAUUGGGCGUAAAGAGCUCGUAGGCGGCUUGUCGCGUCGAAUGUGAAAACUCGGGGCUCAACUCCGAGCUUGCAUUCGAUACGGGCAGGCUAGAGUUCGGUAGGGGAGACUGGAAUUCCUGGUGUAGCGGUGAAAUGCGCAGAUAUCAGGAGGAACACCGGUGGCGAAGGCGGGUCUCUGGGCCGAUACUGACGCUGAGGAGCGAAAGCGUGGGGAGCGAACAGG